AAAUCUAUUUAAUUGAUGUAAUAAGAGGAUGAACUUUAUAAAUUAAUUAUAAAGUGAUAAAAUUAUGUUAUAUGCAAAAAGGGAAAAUAUAUAUGGCUGCAAUUGUCAAGUUUGUUAAUAUUAUUAUUAUUAUCUUUCUUUUCUUAUUCCUUGUUGCAACGAAUGUUGUAGGUAGAAAAUGUUUUACUGAAUCUGAUUGUCCAAGAACUAUGUGCCCAAUUACUAAGCUGUUGCAGUGUAUUAGAAAACAAUGUGUGUGUGUUACUAAUUGGAACAUCCAUGCUCCCACAUGAUUCCUAGUGCCAGAUAUCCAUGAGCUACACAUACACACUACAAUAGUAUUCUAUGAGAUGUUAUUUAAUUAUUGUGUUUGUAUUCAAUAAUUUUCAUUUUUCUUUCUUUUUCUAAUAUCAACAACCGCUACUAGAAAAACUUUGCCACUAUAUUUGGUCUAGUGGUGAGGAGUUUGGAUAGUAUGCUAGAGAUCUUGUGUUUGCAUUUUUAUAUAUGAAAAUAAUCCGCAGGCAUUCCUAAGACUUUUGCUGCGGAAUUCACCACCAAGAAGAAGUAAUUUCUUGCAGAUUUUGAUUUUUCAAAAAAAAAUCCGCAAGUAACAACUAUAUUUGAUAAUGAAAAUCCACACGGUUACUCUCUUGCAUCAAACCUGUUUAGUAAAUCCAUAUAGUUAAUUCCGGAGGUAUUACUUACUGCGAAGAUAACAGAAUAACAAUUUUUACUUUAA
Molecule: long non-coding RNA, 742 nt
Organism: Trifolium pratense (red clover)
Lineage: Eukaryota; Viridiplantae; Streptophyta; Magnoliopsida; Fabales; Fabaceae
Exons: 3
Source: RefSeq, a predicted model, not a curated record